UGGCUCAGUUGGUAGAGCAUGGUGUUUGCAACGCCAGGGUUGUGGGUUUGAUCCCCAC
Non-coding RNA from Salmo salar (Atlantic salmon), 58 nucleotides. The record is from Rfam. NCBI's taxonomy places the organism in Eukaryota, Metazoa, Chordata, Actinopteri, Salmoniformes, Salmonidae.